AACGCGAAGAACCUUACCUGGGCUCGAAAUGUAGUGGAAUCCGGCAGAAACGUCGGCGUCUAGCAAUAGACCGCUAUAUAGGUGCUGCAUGGCUGUCGUCAGCUCGUGUCGUGAGAUGUUGGGUUAAGUCCCGCAACGAGCGCAACCCUUAUCUUCAGUUGCUACCAUUUAGUUGAGCACUCUGACGAAACCGCCUCGGAUAACGGGGAGGAAGGUGGGGAUGACGUCAAGUCCUCAUGGCCUUUAUGUCCAGGGCUACACACGUGCUACAAUGGCCGGUACAAACCGCUGCAAACCCGCGAGGGGGAGCUAAUCGGAAAAAGCCGGCCUCAGUUCGGAUUGGAGUCUGCAACUCGACUCCAUGAAGCUGGAAUCGCUAGUAAUCGUGGAUCAGCAUGCCACGGUGAAUACGUUCCCGGGCCUUGUACACACCGAGACGAC
RNAcentral lists this ribosomal RNA (441 nucleotides) under uncultured bacterium. Its description in RNAcentral is "bacterial SSU rRNA". It matches the Rfam family "Bacterial small subunit ribosomal RNA", at positions 958 to 1398 of the family's 1533-position model. The record is from RNAcentral.